This 979-nucleotide small RNA is filed under the name uncultured Frankineae bacterium. RNAcentral describes it as "bacterial SSU rRNA". The stretch from base 1 to 473 matches the Rfam family "Bacterial small subunit ribosomal RNA", at positions 1064 to 1533 of the family's 1533-position model. The record is from RNAcentral. Lineage: Bacteria; Bacillati; Actinomycetota; Actinomycetes; Frankiales.
GUCGCGAGAUGUUGGGUUAAGUCCCGCAACGAGCGCAACCCUCGUUCUAUGUUGCCAGCGCGUUAUGGCGGGGACUCAUAGGAGACUGCCGGGGUCAACUCGGAGGAAGGUGGGGACGACGUCAAAUCAUCAUGCCCCUUAUGUCUUGGGCUGCACACAUGCUACAAUGGCCGGUACAAAGGGCUGCUAAACCGCGAGGUGGAGCGAAUCCCAAAAAGCCGGUCUCAGUUCGGAUUGGGGUCUGCAACUCGACCCCAUGAAGUCGGAGUUGCUAGUAAUCGCAGAUCAGCAACGCUGCGGUGAAUACGUUCCCGGGCCUUGUACACACCGCCCGUCACGUCACGAAAGUCGGUAACACCCGAAGCCAGUGGCCCAACUCGCAAGAGAGGGAGCUGUCGAAGGUGGGAUCGGCGAUUGGGACGAAGUCGUAACAAGGUAGCCGUACCGGAAGGUGCGGCUGGAUCACCUCCUUUCUAAGGAGCACCGAAGACGCGAGCUCUUGAGCUCGUCGUCCAGGACCCACGCGAGGACGUUCGUGCCUCGGUGGGGCUCAAGGGUGGAACACUGACCAGUAGGCCGUCUCGCUCGAGACGCACUCCUAGUACAGCCGGCUUGCCGGUGGGAACGGAUCGCGCCUCCGGUGGAGGUGGCCCAAGCGCGCUGUUGGGUCCUGAGGGAUCUAGCCCGCACUCGCAAGAGUGCGGAUCCGACCUCGGUGACACGAGCCCUCGAUCCUUCUGGAUCGGGGGCUCCGUCGCGGAAGGACCGGUCCACGCCGUACCACUCUGUGCUCAGAGCUGGCGGUGGGUGGAGACCGGGACCGCCCGUAGCUUGAGAACUGCACAGUGGACGCGAGCAUCUUUGUGGCCAAGUUAGUAAGGGCGCACGGUGGAUGCCUUGGCACCAGGAGCCGAUGAAGGACGUAGGAGGCUGCGAUAAGCCUCGGGGAGCUGCCAACCGAGCUGUGAUCCGAGGAUUU